This 319-nucleotide ribosomal RNA is filed under the name uncultured Pseudomonadota bacterium. Its description in RNAcentral is "bacterial SSU rRNA". It matches the Rfam family "Bacterial small subunit ribosomal RNA", at positions 30 to 351 of the family's 1533-position model. The record is from RNAcentral. Lineage: Bacteria; Pseudomonadati; Pseudomonadota.
AUUGAACGCUGGCGGCAUGCUUUACACAUGCAAGUCGAACGGUAACAGGCCGCAAGGUGCUGACGAGUGGCGAACGGGUGAGUAAUGCAUCGGAACGUGCCCAGAGGUGGGGGAUAGCCCGGCGAAAGCCGGAUUAAUACCGCAUACGACCUACGGGUGAAAGCGGGGGAUCGCAAGACCUCGCGCCAUUGGAGCGGCCGAUAUCAGAUUAGGUAGUUGGUGGGGUAAAGGCCUACCAAGCCAACGAUCUGUAGCUGGUCUGAGAGGACGACCAGCCACACUGGGACUGAGACACGGCCCAGACUCCUACGGGUGGCAG